Molecule: ribosomal RNA, 301 nt
Filed under: uncultured bacterium
Lineage: Bacteria
Description: partial 16S ribosomal RNA
Rfam family: Bacterial small subunit ribosomal RNA
Source: RNAcentral
CAGCAGCCGCGGUAACACGUAGGGUGCGAGCGUUAAUCGGAAUUACUGGGCGUAAAGCGUGCGCAGGCGGUUUUGUAAGACAGGCGUGAAAUCCCCGGGCUCAACCUGGGAAUGGCGCUUGUGACUGCAAAGCUAGAGUGCGGCAGAGGGGGAUGGAAUUCCGCGUGUAGCAGUGAAAUGCGUAGAUAUGCGGAGGAACACCGAUGGCGAAGGCAAUCCCCUGGGCCUGCACUGACGCUCAUGCACGAAAGCGUGGGGAGCAAACAGGAUUAGAUACCCCCGUAGUCCCUGUCUCUUAUAC